Molecule: long non-coding RNA, 249 nt
Filed under: Lathyrus oleraceus (garden pea)
Lineage: Eukaryota; Viridiplantae; Streptophyta; Magnoliopsida; Fabales; Fabaceae
Description: Pisum sativum (pea) long non-coding RNA (PSAT_LNC004540)
Source: RNAcentral
UUCAACGACAAAGGGUUGUUCAAGAGUGGAGGUUUCAUCCAUGCCGAUCGAGUUGACAAAGCUGCUACUAUUCUGGAAGAGGAUACAGAGGAUACCGACAAUUUUGUCAUCCCUGGCGGGAUCUUCCAUAAUUGGGUCGAUGUGGAUGUUCCUACGGUCAUUCAUAAGUUAGCGUAAUAUGUUCACUUUGUUUAAAAACCCUUCUCCCAUGCCAAGAGGAGAAGUGAUGACAUUGUUGGCAUCAUAUAU